This 379-nucleotide ribosomal RNA is filed under the name uncultured eukaryote. Its description in RNAcentral is "partial 18S ribosomal RNA". It matches the Rfam family "Eukaryotic small subunit ribosomal RNA", at positions 592 to 976 of the family's 1831-position model. The record is from RNAcentral.
CAAUAGCGUAUAUUAAAGUUGUUGCGGUAAAAAAGCUCGUAGUUGGAUUUCUGUUGAGAGCGACCGGUCCAUACCAUGUAUGCGUAUCUGGCUUGCUCUCGGCAUCCUCUCGAUAGACGUUACUGCGCUUGAUUGCGUGGUGCGGAUCUCGGGACUUUUACUUUGAGGAAAUUAGAGUGUUCACGGCAGGCUUUCGCCAGAAUACAUUAGCAUGGAAUAAUACUAUAGGAUCUUGGUUCUAUUUUGUUGGUUUCUAGAAUUGAGAUAAUGAUUAAUAGGGACAAUUGGGGGCAUUCGUAUCAACACGUAAGAGGUGGAAUUCUUGGAUUGUGUUGCGACGAACUACUGCGAAAGCAUUUGCCAAGGAUGUUUUCAUUGA